This 282-nucleotide ribosomal RNA is filed under the name Triatoma dimidiata (kissing bug). RNAcentral describes it as "partial 12S ribosomal RNA". The record is from RNAcentral. Lineage: Eukaryota; Metazoa; Arthropoda; Insecta; Hemiptera; Reduviidae.
UAGUAUUAAUAGUUAUGAUCUUUAAAUUAAAAGAAUUUGGCGGUAAUUUAGUCUGUUCAGAGGAAUCUGCCCUGUAAUUGAUAGUCCACGAUAAAUUUUACUUUAUUUGGGCUUGUAUAUCGCUGUCAUUGAAUGUCUUAUUAGGGGAUUUUCGUUAAUCAUUAUAUGGAAGAUGUCAGGUCAAGGUGCAGCUAUAGUAAAGAAGAGGUGGAUUACAUUUAAUGUAUUUAUGGAUAAGUCUAUGGAAAUAGCUUUGAAAUUGGAUUUGAGAGUAACUUCUAU